AAAACCUUUAAUCCAGUCCCGUGAGGCUGGCAAGGGAUACAACCGAACACAGGUGACCUCUAACCUCUUGCCCGCCGGAAGCAAGAGGUUUUUUUAU
Chloroflexi bacterium RBG_13_57_8 is the source of this 97-nucleotide non-coding RNA. The record is from Rfam. Lineage: Bacteria; Bacillati; Chloroflexota.